Non-coding RNA from Podarcis lilfordi (Lilford's wall lizard), 5521 nucleotides. The record is from the annotation of a GenBank genome assembly. Lineage: Eukaryota; Metazoa; Chordata; Lepidosauria; Squamata; Lacertidae.
UGAUGCACAUCAACUAGGCACUCCCUCAGGGUCACUGCUCAGGGGCGCGCCUUGGGCCCUUGCCUCCAUAGGCUUCAGACGGGGCCAUGCCCCCCAGAAUCCUUUAUCGGACUACCCUUCAAUAUCCGGGGGAGGUGAUGGCGCUCCUCCCCCCCAUACAUCUACAUAACAAUACCCAUACCAAUGCCUAACCGCCACUUGAGCAAAGCUCGCCGCCAAUACCCUCAGACCUGCAACCAAUCAAUGGAUCCAAACUACAAGAAAGAAGAUUCCACCUAAACAUUAGGAAGAACUUCCUGACAGUAAGAGCUGUCCGACAGUGGAAUUUGCUGCCAAGGAGUGUGGUGGAGUCUCCUUCUUUGGAGGUCUUUAAGCAGAGGCUUGACAACCAUAUGUCAGGAGUGCUCUGAUGGUGUUUCCUGCUUGGCAGGGGGUUGGACUCGAUGGCCCUUGUGGUCUCUUCCAACUCUAUGAUUCUAUGAUUCUAUAAUUUAAUCCCUAAUCCCUGCAGAUAUGUCAGCCAACCAAACAUCGUUUCCCGCAUUGGAAAGAGGCACGCCAUCCUCGUGGCAGAGGGUCACCUUGCUGAACUGGAUGUUGGGCUGGUCAAUGUCCCGCCCCCCCAGCGCUGCCACUCUUCGAGCCACUGAGCAUUCCAGAAUCUUUCUGGAUUUGUUUAUAGCAAUAGGACAUCGGCAGUCCCUCCAAGUGCGCCUUUCCAACAGUGGUGACCAAAUUAUGACUAAAUUUGGGAAAGAAAUCCUCAGAUCAUCAAAAUCAUCGAAAAUGUUCCACAUUAAGUCCACGCCCUUCCGGUAGGCCAAAUCUAACCAGCCUGGGCCAGUUUCAAAUGAUAUCCAUCUGUUCCAACCGGCCUGGACCUGCUUGAAGCUGUCUGGAACUGUUCAAACUUGCUUGGGCCUGUUCAAACCAGCCUAGACCUCAGACUGGUUGAAACAGGUCUGGGCUGGUUUGAACCGGUCCAAGUCGGUUGAAACAGGUCCAAGCCGGUUAAAACCGGUCUUGGCCCGCUAUGAACCUGGUCUAAGCCAGUUUGUGCCAGUCCAAGCCGGUUUGAACUGGUCUUGGCUGUUUUAUACCGGUCUAGGCCAGUUUGAACAGGCCAAUUCCAACCCACUUGGAACUGCUCAAACUGGCUUGGGCCGUUUCAAACCGGCCUAGACCUAUUCAAACCAGCCAAGACCGGUUCAAACUGGCUUGUACUGGCUCAAACCUGCCUAGACCGGUUCAUACUGGCCUAGACCGGUUCCAACCGGCUUGGACCUGUUUCAACCGACCUGGACCCGUUCAAACAAGGCUAGACCUGUUCCAAGCAAUCUGAGCCAGUUCCAACCAGUCUCGGCCAGUUCAAACUGGUCUGGGCAAGCUGGAACCCGCAUGGACUUUUCCCAAUUGGUUUCAGCUGGUUCCAACUGGCUUGGACUGGUUCCAACUGAUCUGAACUGGUUCCAACAGAAUUGAUGGUAACAGGGCGCCAGGGCACUGAAUGUGGACCUUUCAGUACCGCAUUUCCAAAUCAGGUGACUGCAUUUUGAUCGGGAACAAAGGGAAGCGAAUCUCUGAGAAUCUGGUGAGAAGCACUUCAAAAGGGACAUAGCAAUGCGGGGGGAGUGUUCAACAGCUUGUAAUUCAAGCACUCCACCAGGCUGUAAGAUAGCAAAUUUCAAAAGGGCUUUCUCAGGGGACUGUGGUGUCAAACUGACCCCAGAGACUUUGAGAAUGCAUUGUGAGCUGAAUUGGCCAAGCCAGGUUGCGUGGCGAGUUCCCACCUCCCACCUAUCUGACUAUCCGGCUUCAGCCUGCUUGCUUGAAAAUCCGGAAGGGUUAACACCAGCAGGGGAGCCCUGCUGAUGCACAUCAACUAGGCACUCCCCCAGGGUCACUGCUCGGGGGGGGGGGGGUGGUGCCUUGAGCCCUGGCCUCCAUAGGCUUCAGACGGGGCCAUGCUCCCCAGAAUCCUUUAUCGGACUACCCUUCAAUAUCCGGGGGAGGUGAUGGCACUCCUCCUCCCAAACAUCUACAUAACAAUACCCAUACCAAUGCCUAACCGCCACUUGAGCAAAGCUCGCCGCCAAUACCCACAGACCUGCAACCAAUCAAUGGAUCCAAACUACAAGAAAGAAGAUUCCACCUAAACAUUAGGAAGAACUUCCUGACAGUAAGAGCUGUUCGACAGUGGAAUUUGCUGCCAAGGAGUGUGGUGGAGUCUCCUUCUUUGGAGGUCUUUAAGCAGAGGCUUGACAACCAUAUGUCAGGAGUGCUCUGAUGCUGUUUCCUGCUUGGCAGGGGUUGGACUCGAUGGCCCUUGUGGUCUCUUCCAACUCUAUGAUUCUAUGAUUCUAUGAUUCAAUCCCUAAUCCCCGCAGAUAUGUCAGCCAACCAAACAUUGUUUCCCGCAUUGGAAAGAGGCACGCCAUCCUCGUGGUAGAGGGUCACCUUGCUGAACUGGAUGUUGGGCUGGUCAAUGUCCCGCCCCCCCAGCGCUGCCACUCUUCGAGCCACUGAGCGUUCCAGAAUCUUUCUGGAUUUGUUUAUAGCAAUAGGACAUCGGCAGUCCCUCCAAGUGCGCCUUUCCAACAGUGGUGACCAAAUUAUGACUAAAUUUGGGAAAGAAAUCCUCAGAUCAUCAAAAUCAUCGAAAAUGUUCCACAUUAAGUCCACGCCCUUCCGGUAGGCCAAAACUAACCAGCCUGGGCCAGUUUCAAAUGACAUCCAUCUGUUCCAACCGGCCUGGACCUGCUUGAAGCUGUCUGGAACUGUUCAAACUUGCUUGAGCCUCUUCAAACCAUCCUAGACCUCAGACUGCUUGAAACAGGUCUAGGCUGGUUUGAACCGGUCCAGGUCAGUUGAAACAGGUCCAAGCCGGUUGGAACCGGUCUAGGCCAGUAUGAACCGGUCUAAGCCAGUUUGUGCCAGUCCAAGCCGGUUUGAACUGGUCUUGGCUGUUUUGUACCGGUCUAGGCCAGUUUGAACAGGCCAAUUCCAAGCCACUUGGAACUGCUCAAACUGGCUUGAGGCCUGCUUUCAAACCAGCCAAGACCGGUUCAAACUGGCUUGUACUGGCUCAAACCUGCCUAGACCGGUUCAUACUGGUCUAGACCGGUUCCAACUGGCUUGGACCUGUUUCAAACGACCUGGACCGGUUCAAACAAGCCUAGACCUGUUCCAAGCAAUCUGAGCCAGUUCCAACCAGUCUGGGCCAGUUCAAACUGGUCUGGGCGAGUUGGAACCCACAUGGACUUUUCCCAAUUGGUUUCAGCUGGUUCCAACUGGCUUGGACUGGUUCCAACUGAUCUGAACUGGUUCCAACAGAAUUGAUGGUAACAGGGUGCCAGGGCACUGAAUGUGGACCUUUCAGUACCGCAUUUCCAAAUCAGGUGACUGCAUUUUGAUCGGGAACAAAGGGAAGCUAAUCUCUGAGAAUCUGGUGAGAAGCACUUCACAAGGGACAUAGCGAUGCGGGGGGAGUGUUCAACAGCUUGUAAUUCAAGCACUCCACCAGGCUGUAUGAUAGCAAAUUUCAAAAGGGCUUUCUCAGGGGACUAUGGUGUCAAACUGACCCCAGAGACUUUGAGAACGCAUUGUGAGCUGAAUUGGCCAAGCCAGGUUGCGUGACGAGUUCCCACCUCCCACCUAUCAGACUAUCUGGCUUCAGCCUGCUUGCUUGAAAAUCCGGAAGGGUUAACACCAGCAGGGGGAGCCCUGCUGAUGCACAUCAACUAGGCACUCCCUCAGGGUCACUGCUCGGGGGCGUGCCUUGGGCCGUGGCCUCCAUAGGCUUCAGACGGGGCCAUGCCCGCCAGAAUCCUUUAUCGGACUACCCUUCAAUAUCCGGGGGAGGUGAUGGCGCUCCUCCCCCCCCCAUACAUCUACAUAACAAUACCCAUACCAAUGCCUAACCGCCACUCGAGCAAAGCUCACCGCCAAUACCCUCAGACCUGCAACCAAUCCCUAAUCCCCGCAGAUCUGUCAGCCAACCAAACAUCGUUUCCCGCAGUGGAAGGAUGCACGCCAUCCUCGUGGUAGAGGGUCACCUUGCUGAACUGGAUGUUGGGGUGGUCAAUGUCCCCCCCCCCAGCGCUGCCACUCUUCGAGCCACUGAGCGUUCCAGAAUCUUUCUGGAUUUGUUCAUACCAAUAGAGCAUCGGCAGUCCCUCCAAGUGCACCUUUCCAACAGUGAUGACCAAAUUGUGACUUAAUUUGGGAAAGAAAUCCUCAGAUCAUCAAAAUCAUCGAAAAUGUUCCACAUUAAGUCCACGCCCUUCCGGUAGGCCAAAUCUAACCAGCUUGCGCAAGUUUCAAAUGACAUCCACCUGUUCCAACCGGCCUGGACCUGCUUGAAGCUGUCUGGAACUGUUCAAACUGGCUUGGGCCUGUUCAAACCAGCCUAGACCUCAGACUGGUUGAAACAGGUCUGGGCUGGUUUGAACCGGUCCAAGUCGGUUGAAACAGGUCCAAGCCAGUUAAAACCGGUCUUGGCCCGUUUGAACCUGUCUAAGCCAGUUUGUGCCAGUCCAAGCCGGUUUGAACCGGUCUUGGCUGGUUUGUACCGGUCUAGGCCCAUUUGAACAGGUCUAGGCCAGUUUGAAAUGGCCCAAGCCAGUUUGAGCAGUUCCAAGUGGGUUGGAACUGGCCCAGAUAGGUUGGAGCAGGUCCAGGCCAGUUGGAGCAGGUGCAGGUCAUUUGAAACUGGCCCAGCUGGUUAGAACAGGUCCAGGCCGGUUGGUACAGGACUAUUUCGCUUGGGACCAGUGCAGCCCAGUUGGAACCAGUUCAUACCAGUUGGGUCUGGUCCAUGCCGGUUGGAACCAGCCCAAAGCAGUUGGGAAAGGCCCAGGUGGUUUUCAAUUUGCACAGACCAGUUGGAACUGGCCCAGACUGGUUGGAACAGGUCUAGGGUGGUUUGAACCAGUCCAAUUCGGUUGAAACAGGUCCAAGCUGGUUGGAACCUGUCUAGGCCGGUUUUAACAGGUCUAGAUAGGUUUGUGCCGGUCCAAACCGGUUUCAAUCGGUCAAGGCAGGUUUGAACCGGUCUUGGUCGGAUUGAACAGUUCUAAGUGGGUUGGAACUGGCCCAGACAGUUUGGAGCAGGUCCAGGACAGUUGGAGCUGGUCCAGGUCAUUUGAAACUGGACCAAGCUGGUUACAACAGGUCCAGGCUGGUUGGAACAGGUCUAUGUCGCUUGGAACCAGCCCAGACCUGUUGCAAUCAUUUCAUACCAGUUGGAUCCAGCCCAAGCCAGUUGGAACCAGCCCAAAGCAUUUGGAAAAGGUCCAGGCGGGUUCCAACUUGCCCAGACCAAUUUGAACUGGCCCAGACAGGUUGGAACUAGCUCAGACUGUUUGGAAGAGGUCUAGACUGGUUUGAACCAGUCCAAGCUGAUUAGUGCCGGUUGAAGCCGGUUUGAACUGCUCUAUGCUGGUUUGAACCGGUCAAAUUCAGUUUCAAAUGACCUGCACCUGCUCCAACUGGCCUGAACCUACUCCAACCUGUCUGGGCC